Molecule: non-coding RNA, 69 nt
Organism: Bos taurus (domestic cattle)
Lineage: Eukaryota; Metazoa; Chordata; Mammalia; Artiodactyla; Bovidae
Source: Rfam
CCUGGUGGCUCAAGCGGUAAAGCGUUUGCCUACAAUGCAAGAGACCAGGGUUUGAUCCCUGGGUCAGGA